UCUCCGUUGGUGAACCAGCGGAGGGAUCAUUACCGAGUUAUCAACUCCCAAACCCCUGUGAACAUACCCAACGUUGCCUCGGCGGGACCGCCCCGGCGCCCUCGGCGUCCCGGAACCAGGCGCCCGCCGGAGGACCCAAACUCUUGUUUAAACCAUAGUGGCAUAUUCUGAGUCUCACAAGAAAAAUGAAUCAAAACUUUCAACAACGGAUCUCUUGGCUCUG
RNAcentral lists this unclassified non-coding RNA (223 nucleotides) under plant metagenome. RNAcentral describes it as "partial contains small subunit ribosomal RNA, internal transcribed spacer 1, and 5.8S ribosomal RNA". The record is from RNAcentral.